UCUCGGCUUAUCACCGGCAGUCCCCUUAGAGUGCCCAACUGAAUGCUGGCAACUAAGGGCGAGGGUUGCGCUCGUUGCGGGACUUAACCCAACAUCUCACGACACGAGCUGACGACAGCCAUGCAGCACCUGUGUGUCGGCUCCCUUUCGGGCACGCCUCCGUCUCGAGAGGCUUCCGACCAUGUCAAGGGUAGGUAAGGUUUUUCGCGUUGCAUCGAAUUAAUCCACAUCAUCCACCGCUUGUGCGGGUCCCCGUCAAUUCCUUUGAGUUUUAAUCUUGCGACCGUACUCCCCAGGCGGAGUGCUUCACGCGUUAGCUGCGCCACCAAAGCACCAAGUGCCCUGACAGCUAGUUAUCAUCGUUUACGGCGUGGACUAC
Molecule: unclassified non-coding RNA, 379 nt
Filed under: uncultured Pseudomonadota bacterium
Lineage: Bacteria; Pseudomonadati; Pseudomonadota
Description: uncultured proteobacterium contains 16S-23S intergenic spacer region
Source: RNAcentral